GACUGACUCAAAAUUCCCUGACUUUCAAGCUGGAUCUGAAAGAGCUUCAACUCAUGCUGUCACUGCUAUUGCUGGAGCUAAUAUCGUUUAUGAAUCU
This 97-nucleotide non-coding RNA is filed under the name marine eukaryotic metagenome. RNAcentral describes it as "Pyrrolysine insertion sequence mttB". It matches the Rfam family "Pyrrolysine insertion sequence mttB". The record is from RNAcentral.